GCCGAGUGUGGGCGAGCGGCGGCGGUAAGGAGGUGGGCGGGAGGGUUGUCCGGGUUUUGUGGGGUUAAAGAGCUGGUAGGGGGCGUGUCGCGGCGACUGUGAAAACCCACAGCUCAACGGUGGGCUUGCAGUCGAUACGGGCAGGCUAGAGUUCGGUAGGGGAGACUGGAAUUCCUGGUGUAGCGGUGAAAUGCGCAGAUAUCAGGAGGAACACCGGUGGCGAAGGCGGGUCUCUGGGCCGAUACUGACGCUGAGGAGCGAAAGCGUGGGGAGCGAACAGGAUUAGAUACCCUGGUAGUC
Molecule: ribosomal RNA, 300 nt
Filed under: uncultured bacterium
Lineage: Bacteria
Description: bacterial SSU rRNA
Rfam family: Bacterial small subunit ribosomal RNA (bases 52-300)
Source: RNAcentral